GAUGAACGCUGGCGGCGUGCCUAAUACAUGCAAGUCGAGCGAACAGACGAGGAGCUUGCUCCUCUGACGUUAGCGGCGGACGGGUGAGUAACACGUGGAUAACCUACCUAUAAGACUGGGAUAACUUCGGGAAACCGGAGCUAAUACCGGAUAAUAUAUUGAACCGCAUGGUUCAAUAGUGAAAGACGGUUUUGCUGUCACUUAUAGAUGGAUCCGCGCCGCAUUAGCUAGUUGGUAAGGUAACGGCUUACCAAGGCAACGAUGCGUAGCCGACCUGAGAGGGUGAUCGGCCACCCUGGAACUGAGACACGGUCCAGACUCCUACGGGAGGCAGCAGUAGGGACUCUUCCGCAAUGGGCGAAAGCCUGACGGAGCAACGCCGCGUGAGUGAUGAAGGUCUUCGGAUCGUAAAACUCUGUUAUUAGGGAAGAACAAAUGUGUAAGUAACUAUGCACGUCUUGACGGUACCUAAUCAGAAAGCCACGGCUAACUACGUG
This 497-nucleotide ribosomal RNA is filed under the name uncultured bacterium. Its description in RNAcentral is "partial 16S ribosomal RNA". It matches the Rfam family "Bacterial small subunit ribosomal RNA", at positions 28 to 507 of the family's 1533-position model. The record is from RNAcentral.